Molecule: ribosomal RNA, 754 nt
Filed under: Acinetobacter johnsonii
Lineage: Bacteria; Pseudomonadati; Pseudomonadota; Gammaproteobacteria; Moraxellales; Moraxellaceae
Description: bacterial SSU rRNA
Rfam family: Bacterial small subunit ribosomal RNA
Source: RNAcentral
AUUGAACGCUGGCGGCAGGCUUAACACAUGCAAGUCGAGCGGGGAAGGGUAGCUUGCUACCUGACCUAGCGGCGGACGGGUGAGUAAUGCUUAGGAAUCUGCCUAUUAGUGGGGGACAACAUUCCGAGAGGAAUGCUAAUACCGCAUACGCCCUACGGGGGAAAGCAGGGGAUCUUCGGACCUUGCGCUAAUAGAUGAGCCUAAGUCAGAUUAGCUAGUUGGUGGGGUAAAGGCCUACCAAGGCGACGAUCUGUAGCGGGUCUGAGAGGAUGAUCCGCCACACUGGGACUGAGACACGGCCCAGACUCCUACGGGAGGCAGCAGUGGGGAAUAUUGGACAAUGGGCGCAAGCCUGAUCCAGCCAUGCCGCGUGUGUGAAGAAGGCCUUUUGGUUGCAAAGCACUUUAAGCGAGGAGGAGGCUACUUGGAUUAAUACUCUAGGAUAGUGGACGUUACUCGCAGAAUAAGCACCGGCUAACUCUGUGCCAGCAGCCGCGGUAAUACAGAGGGUGCGAGCGUUAAUCGGAUUUACUGGGCGUAAAGCGUGCGUAGGCGGCUUUUUAAGUCGGAUGUGAAAUCCCUGAGCUUAACUUAGGAAUUGCAUUCGAUACUGGGAAGCUAGAGUAUGGGAGAGGAUGGUAGAAUUCCAGGUGUAGCGGUGAAAUGCGUAGAGAUCUGGAGGAAUACCGAUGGCGAAGGCAGCCAUCUGGCCUAAUACUGACGCUGAGGUACGAAAGCAUGGGGAGCAAACAGG